This 253-nucleotide ribosomal RNA is filed under the name uncultured bacterium. RNAcentral describes it as "partial 16S ribosomal RNA". It matches the Rfam family "Bacterial small subunit ribosomal RNA", at positions 524 to 776 of the family's 1533-position model. The record is from RNAcentral.
UACAGAGGGGGCAAGCGUUGUUCGGAAUUACUGGGCGUAAAGCGCGCGUAGGCGGCUUUGUAAGUUAGAGGUGAAAGCCCGGGGCUCAACCCCGGAACUGCCUUUAAGACUGCAUCGCUUGAAUCCAGGAGAGGUGAGUGGAAUUCCGAGUGUAGAGGUGAAAUUCGUAGAUAUUCGGAAGAACACCAGUGGCGAAGGCGGCUCACUGGACUGGUAUUGACGCUGAGGUGCGAAAGCGUGGGGAGCAAACAGG